CAGGUCUGUGAUGCCCUUAGAUGUUCUGGCCGCACGCGCGCUACAAUGAUGGAGGCAGCAAGUAAUUCACCUUGGCCGGAAGGCCCGGGUAAUCUUGUGAAACUUUAUCGUGUUGGGGAUUGACCUUUGUAAUUAUCGGUCAUGAACGAGGAAUUCCUAGUAAGCGCAAGUCAUCAGCUUGCGUUGAUUACGUCCCUGCCCUUUGUACACACCGCCCGU
RNAcentral lists this ribosomal RNA (219 nucleotides) under uncultured eukaryote. RNAcentral describes it as "partial 18S ribosomal RNA". It matches the Rfam family "Eukaryotic small subunit ribosomal RNA", at positions 1457 to 1676 of the family's 1831-position model. The record is from RNAcentral.